RNAcentral lists this ribosomal RNA (1343 nucleotides) under uncultured bacterium. RNAcentral's name for it is "16S ribosomal RNA". It matches the Rfam family "Bacterial small subunit ribosomal RNA", at positions 28 to 1378 of the family's 1533-position model. The record is from RNAcentral.
GACGAACGCUGGCGGCGUGCUUAACAUAUGCAAGUCGAACGGAAAGGCCCUGCUUUUGUGGGGUGCUCGAGUGGCGAACGGGUGAGUAACACGUGAGUAACCUGCCCUUGACUUUGGGAUAACUUCAGGAAACUGGGGCUAAUACCGGAUAGGAGCUCCUGCUGCAUGGUGGGGGUUGGAAAGUUUCGGCGGUUGGGGAUGGACUCGCGGCUUAUCAGCUUGUUGGUGGGGUAGUGGCUUACCAAGGCUUUGACGGGUAGCCGGCCUGAGAGGGUGACCGGCCACAUUGGGACUGAGAUACGGCCCAGACUCCUACGGGAGGCAGCAGUGGGGAAUAUUGCACAAUGGGCGGAAGCCUGAUGCAGCAACGCCGCGUGCGGGAUGACGGCCUUCGGGUUGUAAACCGCUUUCGCCUGUGACGAAGCGUGAGUGACGGUAAUGGGUAAAGAAGCACCGGCUAACUACGUGCCAGCAGCCGCGGUGAUACGUAGGGUGCGAGCGUUGUCCGGAUUUAUUGGGCGUAAAGGGCUCGUAGGUGGUUGAUCGCGUCGGAAGUGUAAUCUUGGGGCUUAACCCUGAGCGUGCUUUCGAUACGGGUUGACUUGAGGAAGGUAGGGGAGAAUGGAAUUCCUGGUGGAGCGGUGGAAUGCGCAGAUAUCAGGAGGAACACCAGUGGCGAAGGCGGUUCUCUGGGCCUUUCCUGACGCUGAGGAGCGAAAGCGUGGGGAGCGAACAGGCUUAGAUACCCUGGUAGUCCACGCUGUAAACGGUGGGUACUAGGUGUGGGGUCCAUUCCACGGGUUCCGUGCCGUAGCUAACGCUUUAAGUACCCCGCCUGGGGAGUACGGCCGCAAGGCUAAAACUCAAAGGAAUUGACGGGGCCCCGCACAAGCGGCGGAGCAUGCGGAUUAAUUCGAUGCAACGCGUAGAACCUUACCUGGGUUUGACAUGGAUCGGGAGUGCUCAGAGAUGGGUGUGCCUCUUUUGGGGUCGGUUCACAGGUGGUGCAUGGCUGUCGUCAGCUCGUGUCGUGAGAUGUUGGGUUAAGUCCCGCAACGAGCGCAACCCUUGUUCACUGUUGCCAGCACGUUAUGGUGGGGACUCAGUGGAGACCGCCGGGGUCAACUCGGAGGAAGGUGGGGAUGACGUCAAGUCAUCAUGCCCCUCAUGUCCAGGGCUUCACGCAUGCUACAAUGGCUGGUACAGAGAGUGGCGAGCCUGUGAGGGUGAGCGAAUCUCGGAAAGCCGGUCUCAGUUCGGAUUGGGGUCUGCAACUCGACCUCAUGAAGUCGGAGUCGCUAGUAAUCGCAGAUCAGCAACGCUGCGGUGAAUACGUUCCCGGG